GUGUUCUAUAUGUAUUAUGUAUGUAUGUAUGUAUGUAUUAUUAUUGCUGCCAAGAGGGUCUGAUGGCACGUAUGGGGUAGCGGGGGUGGGGGUGGGGGGACCCUAAGGGACAGAAAGUGCUUUAACUUUUCUUAAGGUUUUGUUGCUAGCCCUUCAAGUGCACUGAGCUAUGUGACUUUAAUGGUCUUUCAUGUGGCACAUUUGGAUAUUUCCAGAACUAACAUGAGAUGGUUUUGAUGGGAAUUCAUGCAAGAAAGUGAGGAUUCAGAAAUGGUGUAGUGAUCCAGUCCACGUCCUCCCAGCUCACCACCUUGGAGCCCACGGAGCUGGACUGAGAGGGUGCAGAAAGCGGGGGCAACUGGUCCUGACCAGCCCCAGCCCCAUGCGCCUUCCUUGGCCCGUCCUCGGAUCGCCAUGCAAGGCCGAGGUGCAGUGGCCCCCGCUGGCGAGCAGCAGGCAGGCCUCUGGGGCAGCCCCCAGCCUCAGGCCCUCCCUGAGGUCUGCCUGCCACUUGAAGUGACUUGUAUAGGUAGGAAGCACUGAAAAUAGAGUGUUCUCAGAGCACCUUGUAACUCACUGGGUAAGAGGGUAAUACCUUUUGGUUUUUAAAUACCAAUCAUAUGGAACUUUUCUGUCAUGGAUACAAUAAAGACAUUUCUAGAAACACACAGCACAGCAGUCUAAGAUAUAGCACAGCAGGCUAAGAACUUGGUAAGCCUGGCGGGACUUACUGCCAAAAACAAAUCAAAAUUUAAAUUUCAAAAGAAAUCUAAGUUAUAUGAGAAAUUAGCUGGUCACUGUGUUGCCCAAGUCAUCCUUGAGCACCACAGCUUUGCCCCAACUUGGCGGCAGAACUUGAAGGGUUACCGACACGUAAAUGCCAGUGUUUGAUUUCCUGUGUGUGUUGCCUCAGCAUUAAGGGCAUUUUACCCUUGCAGUUUUACUAAAACACUCUGAAAAAUAUUCCAAGCUUCGUAUUAACCUUACCUGUCAAUGUAACGACUUCAUGAACAUUAUUAUAUUGUCAAAUUCCUACUGACAACGUUAUUACUAUAUGGGAGCUUAACUUUAUAAAGAAAUGUAUUUUGACACUGAUAUCUUAUUAAAGUAUUCUGAUCCUACCACUGCUGGUGGCUCUUGUUUCCUGUGGGUUUAUCAUGGGCUACCCUAAUGUAAAGUGAAGUAUUUAUUAAAUAGUUUGUAAAAAA
This 1208-nucleotide long non-coding RNA is filed under the name Equus asinus (donkey). RNAcentral's name for it is "lncRNA (ENSEASG00005033188.1)". Lineage: Eukaryota; Metazoa; Chordata; Mammalia; Perissodactyla; Equidae. The record is from RNAcentral.